Tympanuchus pallidicinctus (lesser prairie-chicken) is the source of this 2877-nucleotide long non-coding RNA. RefSeq lists it as uncharacterized. The transcript has 4 exons. Lineage: Eukaryota; Metazoa; Chordata; Aves; Galliformes; Phasianidae. The record is from RefSeq and is a predicted model, not a curated record.
UGAGGCCUGGGUUGGGAGCGGGAUGAGAAAGCUUGUGGUGUCACCUUGUUGGCUGUGUGCUGUAUCUCUCGUGGUUAGGUUCUUUGGGGUGCACUGGCUGCUAGUAUGAUGACUGAAUGAGGGUUAAGUGAUAGCUGGAGUAAAGCUAGAAGGUGCUGAUUGCAUGUGAGGUUUUGUCCCUGUUUUCCUGCUGUGCUUUAGAUCAGUACUUGAUAGCAUUUCUAUUGAGGCAGCACUUGAUGUAGUUGAGUACAGAGAGAUGGGCAGCAUGCUGUUGGGUUUUGAAACUGAGCUCUCUGAGCAAGGAACAGGUCUGGAUCUCGUGGCUGCAGAAAAUAUCCCUGUAAUACUUGCUGGUUUGGCGAAAGAGAAGAGGGGGUGCUGUGACUCACAGCUGAAUGCAUGCUGCUGCUUUGGAGCAGCAAUGGCUCAGCUCCAAAGCACAAUAAAACUGAAGGCCAGAAAAGGACAGGCAGAUCAUAUACUUGCUUAAGCAUAUCUCACAUCACUUGAAGACAAAGGCAGAAGUAUUGCUUACCCUUCUGACCUCAGAUGAACAUUUUUAUGUUGAAGAGAUAAAGGAUGGUUUUUGAACCUGUACGUGUGAUGCUGACUCCACAAACAUUUUCUUAGCUCAAGCAGUGAAGAAAUAGCUCCAGUGCUUUCUCCAGGAAAAGAAUUCUUCUCUAAUAUCAAGUAUUUGUGAAAGAUGAGUGAAUACUCCUGACAGAUGUCACCAGGGAAAAUGAGCCUGUAGAUACUAAUGAGCUGGAUGACGUUGUUCUGAGAGCAAGCUCAGCUCAGUCCCAGGCCAGACAGGCAGCAAGGCCUGGGAAAGACAUAAAUACCAACCAACAAACUGAAGGUUGUGUGUAAUGGUGUUCCUCAAAGUUCCACUUGUUUAUGGAGACUUUGUCAUCUUGUUGUCUGAAAAUCCCAGGCACUUUGUUUUCCAACUCAGUACUGCUGCUCUGAAAUGUGUAAGCAGUGAUUUCUUCUCUCUCUUUUAUUCCAGAUCAGUUUUAAGUGUUUCUGUUGUCUGUGCGAAAGGAGACUUAUAAUAUCAUUUAGAAGUGUCAAUUGUUCUGUCAUCUUGCUUUUACCAGAGGAGUCUCUUUGAGCUGUUAUUUGUCCUUUAGAAAAGAUGUUCCAUCUUCUCAAGAUGUAUUUCAUAUUAUGAGGGAAAUUUGAUGUUAGCUAAAUAAUAGACAUCACAGUGCAUCUUGAAUACUAGUAACAGGUGAAAUGUAAAUUGUGUGAUUAGCAUGCAGCUAUAGAUGCAGCAAAGAAGCAAACGGCUAUACUUUGAUUGCUCUAAUUGCGUGCAAGUUUAAUCGUAUAUUUGAUGCCCCUGAACAAUAGCAAUGAAUAACUGUCAUGCUUUUUUCAAGUGGACUCUCUAGUUGACGAAGUUUUUGUAUUAUAGCCUUUGUGUUGAAGGGAAAUCAAUAUCUGAAGAGGAAGUGCUGAGUAUAUUCUGUUAAGUCUGUCCUCAGCUUUGAUCUAAGAAGAUCCCCAAGUAUUAGAAAAGCCUACUAGUAGAAAUAAGGCUUAUUCUCUAUAAUUAAGGCUUUCAAUUACCUUGUCUUAGUAGGUAAAAUAGAAUUAUUUUUUCCUCCAACAUGGGACUCUGAACUUCCUGUAAUUAUUUAAUAGUAGGAAUUGGUCUCCAGCAGUAGAUCAGGAAAUAUCCUGGGACACCUAGUUAGUCCUUAAGCAAUGGGUAGCUCGUGAGGGGGAAAUAACAUGCUGAUUUGCAGUUAUAAUUGGAGAAAAUUGCUCAAGAGGAUUCUGAGAGUACAGAAAAUAGGCCAAUUAGUAACCCGGCUCUGAUCCUCCUAUGAUUCAUGAUUGCUUCCAUUUAAUUUUGCUGUCACUUAUGAAGCAAGGUUAAGAAUAGAUAAGCUAAGAGAUGGCUCAAAGAAGCUAACUUCUGCUUGACUUUGGGUGGUGGGGUAGGAGAAUGCAGGAUUUUUUCCCCCCUCUAUGGCUGUAUGACUUGAGUAUUAAAAUUUCUUAAUGUUGCACUUCACACUUAUUCGUUAUAGUGGAAUAAAUUAUGAUUAAACUCUUCACAUACACAUGAUUUUUCCAAAGAUAAAAUGUAGCCCAGCAGUAAGUUAGUCACACUUUAACACUGUUAUCUAAGGGCAUUCCACCAUAAUCAAUGUUAAACUAAAGGAACUUAAAGAGAAAUAAAGAGCUCGAACUGCAGCCACAGGGAAUAUCCUGCAGCUCAGCCUUGAGCAGCAGUCAGCUGUAAUGUGGAGGCUUCAAAACAUCAGGGAAGGCAUCCAAAGGGCAGCACAGGGAGGCUGCUCCCUGUGAGUGUAGGACUGUGCCUCCCAAGUGGUUCUGUCCCAUUGCCCCUUCAGUGCUGGGAUUAAUUUGGACACAGGUGUAGCUCCUCAUCAGCUCUUCUGUUCACCAGCUCCUUUCUCCAUAGCUCGUUCUGCUGCAGGUCGCUGCGUGUGGGAGCAGAACCCUGAGGAAGCACAGGCCAAGCGCUGCAGGUUUCCAUCUCUGGUAUGUGCAGAGGCCCAGCCAAAUGGUGACCAAGUGCCUGUGUCUGGCCUUGCAUGCAGCCCCUGUUUGCCAGGCAUUGCUCUGACCUGCAUCUGCCUGGGGCCUGUCCUAGAGAUCACCUGUUCUGGAACUGUGUAUCAUUCAUGGCUUGAUGGAUGUGCUGUCGUUCUUAAGUGCACAACAGCUGGAUCUGUUGCCAUCCCAUUUAUUUCAUGAAUUUUAUCACAAAUUGGGUAUCUCUUAAAGUGAAUAAUGAAUUGCCCUAUUAGUGUUUACUUUAGAUAGAUCAGCGUUGUCACAAUAAUGGUUAUGUUACAAGAACUGAAUGCAUUAGAACACCAAACCAGCCUG